GGAUUAGAUACCCUGGUAGUCCUAGCUAUAAACGAUGUAGAUUAGGUGUUGGAGGAAUCGAUCCCUUCGGCGCUAAAGCUAACGCAUUAAAUCUACCACCUGGGGAGUACGGUCGCAAGACUGAAACUCAAAGGAAUUGACGGGGACCCGCACAAGCGGUGGAGCAUGUGGUUUAAUUCGAGGCUACGCUAGGAACCUUACCUGGGUUUGACAUGCUAGGAGUAACACAGAAGAAAUUCAGUGUGACCGUAUCCAAUCGGAGCUUAGCACAGGUGCUGCAUGGCUGUCGUCAGCUCGUGUCG
This 302-nucleotide ribosomal RNA is filed under the name uncultured bacterium. Its description in RNAcentral is "bacterial SSU rRNA". It matches the Rfam family "Bacterial small subunit ribosomal RNA", at positions 775 to 1067 of the family's 1533-position model. The record is from RNAcentral.